UACGUAGGUGGCGAGCGUUGUCCGGAAUUACUGGGUGUAAAGGGCGUGUAGGCGGGGAUAUAAGUCAGAUGUGAAAAUCCGUGGCUCAACCACGGACGUGCAUCUGAAACUAUGUUUCUUGAGUGCUGGAGAGGAAAGCGGAAUUCCUAGUGUAGCGGUGAAAUGCGUAGAUAUUAGGAGGAACACCAGUGGCGAAGGCGGCUUUCUGGACAGUAACUGACGCUGAGGCGCGAAAGCGUGGGGAGCAAAC
Molecule: ribosomal RNA, 250 nt
Filed under: uncultured bacterium
Lineage: Bacteria
Description: partial 16S ribosomal RNA
Rfam family: Bacterial small subunit ribosomal RNA
Source: RNAcentral